GACGAACGCUGGCGGCGUGCCUAAUACAUGCAAGUCGAACGGACAGGCCCUGCUCUUGCUCGUUGCUCGAUAGGCGAAGGGGUGAGUAACACGUGAGUAUCCUGCCCUUGACUUUGGGAUAUCUUUAGGAAACUCGGGCUAAUAUCGGAUAGGAGCUCCUGCUGCACAGUGUUGGUUGGUAAGUUACGGCGGUUGGGGAUGGUUUCGCGGCUUAUCAGCCUGUUGGUGGGGUAGUGGCUUUCCAAGGGUAUGACGGGUAGCCGGCCUGAGAGGGGGACCGGCGACAUGGGGCCUGAGGUAGGGACCAGUCUGGUACGGGAGGCAGCGGGGGAGAGUCUUGCGCAAUGGGCGGGAGCGAGAGGCAGCGGCGCCGCGUGCGGAAAGACGGCCUUCGGGUUGUAAACCGCUUUGGCCUGUGACGUGGCGUGAGUGACGGUAAUGGGUAAAAAAGCACCGGCUAACUACGUG
Molecule: ribosomal RNA, 468 nt
Filed under: uncultured bacterium
Lineage: Bacteria
Description: partial 16S ribosomal RNA
Rfam family: Bacterial small subunit ribosomal RNA
Source: RNAcentral